This 181-nucleotide ribosomal RNA is filed under the name uncultured Clostridium sp. RNAcentral's name for it is "partial 16S ribosomal RNA". It matches the Rfam family "Bacterial small subunit ribosomal RNA", at positions 310 to 502 of the family's 1533-position model. Lineage: Bacteria; Bacillati; Bacillota; Clostridia; Eubacteriales; Clostridiaceae. The record is from RNAcentral.
CGGUCCUACGGGAGGCAGCAGUGGGGAAUCCUACGGGAGGCAGCAGUGGGGAAUAUUGCCCAAUGGGGGAAACCCUGACGCAGCAACGCCGCGUGAGUGAUGAAGGCCUUAGGGUUGUAAAGCUCUUCUACUCCGGACAGAUAAUGAGCCGUACCGAGAGGACGGGCGCCCCACGCUAACC